Molecule: signal recognition particle RNA, 265 nt
Filed under: bacterium
Lineage: Bacteria
Description: signal recognition particle sRNA large type
Rfam family: Bacterial large signal recognition particle RNA
About the family: The signal recognition particle (SRP) is a universally conserved ribonucleoprotein involved in the co-translational targeting of proteins to membranes.
Source: RNAcentral
CCGUGCUAGAUGGGGAGCUAGCGGUGCCCUGUACCCGCAAUCCGCUACAGCGGGGUUGAAUUCCUGCUCGAGGGCUGCGGUCUCGGGGACUGCCCUUGUCAGACGGUGUUGACGAUCUGGUCCUGCGCGGCGAGGCGCCAUGAACCUGGUCAGGUCCGGAAGGAAGCAGCCAUAAGUGGAAUUGCUUCGGGUGCCGCAGGUCAACCGGGUCUGAGUCGCCUGGCGCAGGGCAAGCUCGUGGCACAGUUCGACAGCAGGUGCACGG